This 460-nucleotide ribosomal RNA is filed under the name uncultured bacterium. Its description in RNAcentral is "partial 16S ribosomal RNA". It matches the Rfam family "Bacterial small subunit ribosomal RNA", at positions 338 to 795 of the family's 1533-position model. The record is from RNAcentral.
CCUACGGGUGGCAGCAGUGAGGAAUAUUGGUCAAUGGACGGAAGUCUGAACCAGCCAAGUAGCGUGAAGGAUGACUGCCCUAUGGGUUGUAAACUUCUUUUAUACGGGAAUAACAUGUUCUACGUGUGGGACUUUGUAUGUACCAUAUGAAUAAGGAUCGGCUAACUCCGUGCCAGCAGCCGCGGUAAUACGGAGGGUCCGAGCGUUAUCCGGAUUUAUUGGGUUUAAAGGGAGCGUAGGCGGAUUGUUAAGUCAGUUGUGAAAUGUCGCGGCUCAACCGUAAAAUUGCAGCUGAAACUGGCAGUCUUGAGUACAGUAGAGGUGGGCGGAAUUCGUGGUGUAGCGGUGAAAUGCUUAGAUAUCACGAAGAACUCCGAUUGCGAAGGCAGCUUACUGGACUGCAACUGACACUGAGGCUCGAAAGCGUGGGUAUCAAACAGGAUUAGAUACCCCUGUAGUC